UCACAGCGCCGGUACCAGAAGUUUCCUUUUUUCAUUUAUGUAUCUGAAGAAUUUCCUAUCACAUUUUUUCACUGACUGGGCUAAUUUAUUUUCUGCCUGUGCUUUAGAAGCUCUUAUAACUUGCUUGGUCUCUCUCUGCCUAAUCUUAUAAAUUUCCCUGUCAUCCUCGUUUUUUUUUUUUGUUUUUUUUUUAAUUACUAAAUGCUAU
Bufo bufo (common toad) is the source of this 208-nucleotide long non-coding RNA. RefSeq lists it as uncharacterized. The record is from RefSeq and is a predicted model, not a curated record. The transcript is spliced from 3 exons. Lineage: Eukaryota; Metazoa; Chordata; Amphibia; Anura; Bufonidae.